Molecule: ribosomal RNA, 468 nt
Filed under: uncultured bacterium
Lineage: Bacteria
Description: partial 16S ribosomal RNA
Rfam family: Bacterial small subunit ribosomal RNA
Source: RNAcentral
GACGAACGCUGGCGGCGUGCUUAACACAUGCAAGUCGAACGGAAAGGCCCUGCUUUUGUGGGGUGCUCGAGUGGCGAACGGGUGAGUAACACGUGAGUAACCUGCCCUUGACUUUGGGAUAACUUCAGGAAACUGGGGCUAAUACCGGAUAGGAGCUCCUGCUGCAUGGUGGGGGUUGGAAAGUUUCGGCGGUUGGGGAUGGACUCGCGGCUUAUCAGCUUGUUGGUGGGGUAGUGGCUUACCAAGGCUUUGACGGGUAGCCGGCCUGAGAGGGUGACUGGCCACAUUGGGACUGAGAUACGGCCCAGACUCCUACGGGAGGCAGCAGUGGGGAAUAUUGCACAAUGGGCGGAAGCCUGAUGCAGCAACGCCGCGUGCGGGAUGACGGCCUUCGGGUUGUAAACCGCUUUCGCCUGUGACGAAGCGUGAGUGACGGUAAUGGGUAAAGAAGCACCGGCUAACUAUGUG